CAUGCUUUUUUUUUGCUUUUUUUUUUUUUAGGUUCAGAGGUUUGAAGAGGGUUCAGAAGUAACUGCUGGGAAGAGGGCAAGUUCUGGUACUCUCUUCCAUUUAUCGGCAACCUAAUCGGAUGGGCUGCGCAGAGGUCAUGGAGUCUGGAAUUAAUUAAUCCAGGAAUCCCAGCCAACUAGAAAACACGAUCACGAUAUACCAAACAAAAUCUGGCUUUUUGCUGACAUUACUCAUCCGCAUGGGGAGCUACAGUGCUUCAGUUCUGAAAGACGAAUCCUGCAAGACAGAUUGCUUUGUCCAGACCUCACGAAUCCUAUGAUAACAAUUGAAAUAUUGGAAGUAACUGUACUAAAUUCAGUAGCUCAUCAGUGAUGUGUUCAUGGGAGCCUUGCACGGAUUCACU
RNAcentral lists this long non-coding RNA (404 nucleotides) under Salvator merianae (Argentine black and white tegu). RNAcentral's name for it is "lncRNA (ENSSMRG00000022257.1)". The record is from RNAcentral. Lineage: Eukaryota; Metazoa; Chordata; Lepidosauria; Squamata; Teiidae.